GGGGCCGUAGUUCAAUUGGGAGAACGCAACGUUCGCAACGUUGAGGUCGGCGGUUCGAUCCCGCCCGGCUCCA
RNAcentral lists this transfer RNA (73 nucleotides) under Candidatus Margulisiibacteriota bacterium. RNAcentral describes it as "tRNA-Ala". It matches the Rfam family "tRNA". Rfam says of the family: Transfer RNA (tRNA) molecules are approximately 80 nucleotides in length. The record is from RNAcentral. Lineage: Bacteria; Bacillati; Candidatus Margulisiibacteriota.